This is a non-coding RNA of Biomphalaria pfeifferi, 1759 nucleotides long. Lineage: Eukaryota; Metazoa; Mollusca; Gastropoda; Planorbidae. The record is from the annotation of a GenBank genome assembly.
UUUUUUUUUUUUUUGUAUAUAAGCGCAAUAUAAUUAGCGCUGUUUUAAUAAUUCAAACAAAGCAAAUGACUUGUCCAUUGGCUACAUAAGUUAUUAAUGUAAGUAUAGUACGUUUAUAUUGGUUCAAUUCUGACCAACAGAAUUGUUCUUUAUAUUCAAAAUAAAAUAGUAUCCAGGAGACAUUUUUCAUGGUUCCUAUCGUAUAAUUAUUUGUAGUUCAUUGCUCUGAGCUCAACAUGUUUGGUUUUUCUUAGGUUUUCUUGGUUUAUUUUACUAUCGUGGUCAGUUGCUAUUUUUGUGGCCACGAGUUCUGUUUGUGCCAUAAAGCUCUGCUUACUGAUAAACCUAACCUGGGUGGGUCAACCGGUGGAGAUAGGUCUCUAUAAUUUAUUCUCAAUGAAGUUGCCCUUAGCGGUAACAUGUACAUAUGUACUAUGCCCUACGUUUUGUUUUGGUUUUGUACGAGUUCUGUUUGACUUGGGGAAAUUGGGAGGGGUAUUUAUUUUCACGUGAAAAGAUCUUUGAUCUGAAGGUCAUUUGAUGCAGAGAUGACACGAAUCUGUUUUAGCACCAGGCCAGUUUUGUUUCCCUGGACAUGUGACGGAACACAAAGAAUUCAUAGUCCCAACCUUAAGUACAUUUAGGUCCUUUUGAGUUGUUUUGUUGUUGUUUUUGUGUGGGGAUGGGGGGAGAUAGAACAAUGGAGUGGUACAACAAAGAACUCGGCCACUAUCUUGGAUACUAUUAAACAUUAUUUGUGUAUAUAAAAUGUGUCAUAUAUAAGUUAGCACUGUGUAUAGUAACUACACUUGGUCGAUUGUUUAGUGUGUGUGUGUGUGUAAUAGGAUCAUACAUUUGGUACGUGGAAAAUAAUUCUGUAUUAUCUAUCACACCUACCUUGUUAUAGUGUCUCAAAUGUGUACUUAUACUUACAGACGUCUAAGAUGUUUAUAGAUUCAAACUGAAAUGUUACUUCUAGGGAUGUUUAGGUGAGCGCAUUAAAAAACUUUGACAUAUUAACUCAUUACAACUCAUUACUGCAACACCAGUCUAGAGUAAGAAUGCCAAACUCUUUAUAUUUAUGCUCUACAUUUCCAUGUACCGAACUUCCUGACAGUGAUGGAAAUGUAUUUCAGUUGGAAUAAAUCAAUCAUAUUACUGUCAUCUAACUGUUACAAAGGCAGGAAGUGACGUGUAAAACUGUCGGUUCAGGCCGUGAGUUAUACUUAUGUAUCAGCAUCAAAUGGAAACAAAAUCUAAUUUAGUUUAAGAUAGCAGUGUGACGUUGUGACGUCAGAACUAAGAAGGGGGGGGGAAUAGAAUAUCAUAGUACAGUUAGAAAUGUUUCUUUAUUAGAGAUUACGUCAAGUUGAAGGUUUUCCUAAGCCAAACAUCAUUUUCUGGACACCAAAACAGAUAUUUUAAAACUUCUUGAAAGAUAUUGCGCUGUCUAGGACGUUUACAAAGACGGGAAAAAAAAACGAGAAAUUAUUUCUAGAUUGACGUCAUCGCUGGACAGUUACUUUUUUUUUUUUUGUUUUUGUUUUUUUCUUAAGAGAAGGACAGGCCAGCAAGAUUUUCUAUUUUGUUUUUGCGCGCGUUCAAGGUUCUGCUAACGUCUGCUGUAGAAACAAGUGCGUGUGUGUGUGAAGUUAUUUUCUUCUAAUUGUAUAAAGUGGUAAAAAAAAAAAAAUAAUUUAGUUACUAAAAUUCUGAACUCGUAUUUUCCACACGUCAUGAUGCGAUGGCAAAAUUGUGA